GGUAAAAUGGCUGAGGAAGCAUUAGACUGUAAAUCUAAGGACAGGGGUGAGGCCCCCUUUUUGCCAC
This 67-nucleotide transfer RNA is filed under the name Bradypus variegatus (Brown-throated sloth). RNAcentral describes it as "tRNA-Tyr". It matches the Rfam family "tRNA". From Rfam's summary of the family: Transfer RNA (tRNA) molecules are approximately 80 nucleotides in length. Lineage: Eukaryota; Metazoa; Chordata; Mammalia; Pilosa; Bradypodidae. The record is from RNAcentral.